AUGUUCAAUAGCAAGAUCAUCGGGACCGUUGGUGGCUUGACGGCGGGAUGGGGAGACAUGGGUGGCGGUGCCACACAGCUCAUCAUGCCUCUCGUCUUCGAUGCCAUUUUGACAUGUGGUGCAACGCCUUUCACUGCAUGGCGCCUUGCGUACUUCGUACCAGGAAUGAUGUUGGUGGUGAUGGGGUUACUCGUCCUCACCAUGGGGCAAGACCUUCCCGAUGGCAACUUGAGGAGCCUGCAGAAGAAUGGAGACAUGAACAAGGAUAAGUUCUCCAAUGUUCUCCGUGGCGCCGUCACCAACUACCGCACGUGGAUCUUCGUCUUCAUCUAUGGCUACUGCAUGGGUGUCGAGCUCACCACCAACAACGUGAUCGCCGAGUACUAG
This 387-nucleotide ribosomal RNA is filed under the name Triticum aestivum (bread wheat). Its description in RNAcentral is "partial small subunit ribosomal RNA". The record is from RNAcentral. Lineage: Eukaryota; Viridiplantae; Streptophyta; Magnoliopsida; Poales; Poaceae.